GCCAGUAUAGUGGAUAUGACCCUCGGCUUGUAACCGAGUGUACUCAGGUUCGAAUCCUGAAUAAGGCA
Trichonephila clavipes is the source of this 68-nucleotide non-coding RNA. The record is from the annotation of a GenBank genome assembly. NCBI's taxonomy places the organism in Eukaryota, Metazoa, Arthropoda, Arachnida, Araneae, Nephilidae.